RNAcentral lists this ribosomal RNA (1502 nucleotides) under Acinetobacter baumannii. RNAcentral describes it as "bacterial SSU rRNA". It matches the Rfam family "Bacterial small subunit ribosomal RNA". The record is from RNAcentral. Lineage: Bacteria; Pseudomonadati; Pseudomonadota; Gammaproteobacteria; Moraxellales; Moraxellaceae.
GAGUUUGAUCAUGGCUCAGAUUGAACGCUGGCGGCAGGCUUAACACAUGCAAGUCGAGCCCGGGGGAAGGUAGCUUGCUACCGGACCUAGCGGCGGACGGGUGAGUAAUGCUUAGGAAUCUGCCUAUUAGUGGGGGACAACAUCUCGAAAGGGAUGCUAGGAUACCGCAUACGUCCUACGGGAGAAAGCAGGGGAUCUUCGGACCUUGCGCUAAUAGAUGAGCCUAAGUCGGAUUAGCUAGUUGGUGGGGUAAAGGCCUACCAAGGCGACGAUCUGUAGCGGGUCUGAGAGGAUGAUCCGCCACACUGGGACUGAGACACGGCCCAGACUCCUACGGGAGGCAGCAGUGGGGAAUAUUGGACAAUGGGGGGAACCCUGAUCCAGCCAUGCCGCGUGUGUGAAGAAGGCCUUAUGGUUGUAAAGCACUUUAAGCGAGGAGGAGGCUACUUUAGUUAAUACCUAGAGAUAGUGGACGUUACUCGCAGAAUAAGCACCGGCUAACUCUGUGCCAGCAGCCGCGGUAAUACAGAGGGUGCGAGCGUUAAUCGGAUUUACUGGGCGUAAAGCGUGCGUAGGCGGCUUAUUAAGUCGGAUGUGAAAUCCCCGAGCUUAACUUGGGAAUUGCAUUCGAUACUGGUGAGCUAGAGUAUGGGAGAGGAUGGUAGAAUUCCAGGUGUAGCGGUGAAAUGCGUAGAGAUCUGGAGGAAUACCGAUGGCGAAGGCAGCCAUCUGGCCUAAUACUGACGCUGAGGUACGAAAGCAUGGGGAGCAAACAGGAUUAGAUACCCUGGUAGUCCAUGCCGUAAACGAUGUCUACUAGCCGUUGGGGCCUUUGAGGCUUUAGUGGCGCAGCUAACGCGAUAAGUAGACCGCCUGGGGAGUACGGUCGCAAGACUAAAACUCAAAUGAAUUGACGGGGGCCCGCACAAGCGGUAAGGAGCAUGUGGUUUAAUUCGAUGCAACGCGAAGAACCUUACCUGGCCUUGACAUACUAGAAGCACUUUCCAGAGAUGGAUUGGUGCCUUCGGGAAUCUAGAUACAGGUGCUGCAUGGCUGUCGUCAGCGCGUGUCGUGAGAUGUUGGGUUAAGUCCCGCAACGAGCGCAACCCUUUUCCUUACUUGCCAGCAUUUCGGAUGGGAACUUUAAGGAUACUGCCAGUGACAAACUGGAGGAAGGCGGGGACGACGUCAAGUCAUCAUGGCCCUUACGGCCAGGGCUACACACGUGCUACAAUGGUCGGUACAAAGGGUUGCUACACAGCGAUGUGAUGCUAAUCUCAAAAAGCCGAUCGUAGUCCGGAUUGGAGUCUGCAACUCGACUCCAUGAAGUCGGAAUCGCUAGUAAUCGCGGAUCAGAAUGCCGCGGUGAAUACGUUCCCGGGCCUUGUACACACCGCCCGUCACACCAUGGGAGUUUGUUGCACCAGAAGUAGCUAGCCUAACUGCAAAGAGGGCGGUUACCACGGUGUGGCCGAUGACUGGGGUGAAGUCGUAACAAGGUA